Non-coding RNA from Manis javanica (Malayan pangolin), 1376 nucleotides. NCBI's taxonomy places the organism in Eukaryota, Metazoa, Chordata, Mammalia, Pholidota, Manidae. The record is from RefSeq and is a predicted model, not a curated record.
ACGAGUCACGACACAGGAGAAACAGCUUUGGUGAGAUGGGACUAUAGGAAUGGAAGCUCCUGUGAGGUUCACAAGAAGGCCAAAGGGCUCUUGCCUUGUGGGCGGCGUGGGACAAGGCUUUGGUCGGUCUAGGCCCAGAGAGUUCCUAAAGGAGCUUUGCUCAAAUAGUUUGCCAGCUUUACCCAAAUGAAAUUCUAAAAGACGCACUUCAGGCAAAAGGGGUAAUUCCUGAUGGAUGGUCUGAAAUGGAAUGAAGAGCAACAUGUGGAUUGUUCAUAUGUGAAGGGAAUGCCUGAUGACUGAGGAUUAACUAGGCAUAAAGAAGAGAAUGGGAGUUUUCAUAUAUAAAAAAUGCUAUACAGGCAGACCAUGGAGAUAUGACAGAUUCAGCUCCAGAUCACAAUAAAGCGGAUAUUGCAAUAAAAUUAUUUACAGAACUCAAGUCCAUCAAUAGAUUCCAGUAGAUGGUGUGGGAGAAAGUUCAAAUGAAGUGAUCAGCUGGAAUAAUCAUAUUAACUUUCUUUGAAUUCAGAGAAGUCACUGAUACAAAGACAUAUCACCUGCAGGUUCCUUCCAUCAAACUGUUCUAUAUUUCUUUCUAUUAUGAAUGAUUUUACAUACUUCAUAGCAUGUACCAACUAUUUCACAAAAACAAUUUUGUUCCAAAAACCCCAGUGAAAAGGACGCAAUAACAAGAAUGUAUCUAUAAGGCUUAAUUUGGAGGUAUUUACAUUGAAAUAUUUUUUUCUUCAUAUUAAAAGACACAAUAGUUUUUAAAAACCCUGAAAAUAUUUUUUAAAAUAUCUCCUCACUUGCAAGAAUUAUUGGUACUUCUCCUUUCUAGUACCCACUCCAGGCUAGUACCUAUAGAGCUAGGAGCACAAAAUGAUCUGGCUCCUGCAGAUAAACUCAAAGACUAACACUUAAAAUAAGCUGUAAUAACAGAAUCAUAAUUUUAUUUUAUCUUUUUAUGUUUUGAACUAUUUCUUUAUUUCCUUUAGUUUUUUUUUAUAUUGAGGUACAUACAAUAAAAUGCACAAGUGUUAGUGUACAGCUUGACGAAUUUUGAUCUGUGUAUGCACUCAUGUAACCAUCACCCAGACCAGGAUGUCACACAUUCACAAUCAGUUUUAGAGCUGGAUUUCUCAACCUCAAACUAUUGUCCCUUGGGAUUCCAUAAUUCUUCAUUGUGGAAGCUGUCCUGUGCCUUGUUAGAUGUUUAUCAGCACCCCUGACCUCUGCUCACUAGGUGCCAGUACUACCCCUCCCUGGUGUGACAACCAAAAAAUGUCUCCAGAGAUUGCCAAAUGUUACCCACAUUGAGAACUACUAGCCUAGGGGGUUUCAUAGAGAGAAUUUAUUCACAAAAAAGUUCA